Molecule: ribosomal RNA, 316 nt
Filed under: uncultured bacterium
Lineage: Bacteria
Description: bacterial SSU rRNA
Rfam family: Bacterial small subunit ribosomal RNA
Source: RNAcentral
AUAUUGGGCAAUGCCCGCAAGGGUGACCCAGCAACGCCGCGUGGAGGAUGAAUGUCGUAAGAUUGUAAACUCCUGUUAGAGGGGAAGAAUAGUACCGGUUGGACCGGUAUAUGACUGUACCCUCAGAGAAAGCCCCGGCUCACUACGUGCCAGCAGCCGCGGUAAUACGUAGGGGGCAAGCGUUGUCCGGAUUUACUGGGUGUAAAGGGCGCGCAGGCGGGAUAAAAAGUCAGUGGUGAAAUCCUACAGCGUAACUGUAGAACUGCCUUUGAGACUUUCAUUCUUGAGUUCGGGAGAGCGAGACGGAAUUCCAGGU